CACGGAGGGUGCAAGCGGUAUUCGGAAUCACUGGGCGUAAAGCGCGCGUAGGCGGUCUCUUAAGUCAGAUGUGAAAGCCCGGGGCUCAACCCCGGAAGUGCAUUUGAAACUAAGGGACUUGAGUAUGGGAGAGGGAAGUGGAAUUCCUGGUGUAGCGGUGAAAUGCGUAGAUAUCAGGAGGAACACCGGUGGCGAUGGCGACUUCCUGGCCCAAUACUGACGCUGAGGCGCGAAGGCGUGGGGGGCAAACAGG
This 253-nucleotide ribosomal RNA is filed under the name uncultured bacterium. RNAcentral describes it as "partial 16S ribosomal RNA". It matches the Rfam family "Bacterial small subunit ribosomal RNA", at positions 524 to 776 of the family's 1533-position model. The record is from RNAcentral.